This is a long non-coding RNA of Boleophthalmus pectinirostris (great blue-spotted mudskipper), 930 nucleotides long. RefSeq lists it as uncharacterized. Lineage: Eukaryota; Metazoa; Chordata; Actinopteri; Gobiiformes; Gobiidae. The record is from RefSeq and is a predicted model, not a curated record. The transcript is spliced from 4 exons.
AUGGUUGUUUUUCACAGGAGUGUCUUCAGUGACCAAGCUCUUCCACCCAUGGAAGUCUGCAGUGCGCUCAGACAGUUUUCAUUUUGUGAGGCGCUUCAACUGUGGCCUCACUACAGAACACCACCCUCUAUAUGGCACCUUUUGUACCAAGCUGUCAUCCUGCGUUUUUGAAUGGGAUCAGGAGGAUGUGCAACGCCUGAAGGAGGCCAAGAGAGAGGAGUGGAAGUGCAGCCACAGUGGACAUGUUCCCACUGAGGAACAGCUUAUGGCCACCGUCAACCCAGGAGAACUAAAGAAACACUGCAGGAGGAGGACCCGUGGAGUGGAGGAGAUGCGCCGUAUGAUUUCAAGGCUGCUGGAAUCAGUGUGGGACCUCACAGACACCACAGGGCUGUGUUUGGUGAGCCAUGACAGCAUGCGCCACAUCUGGGAGAUGCAGCAGAAACAGCUGGAGUGCUUCCAAGACCCCCCAGGCUGGCGGUGCAAUGCUACACAUAUGCAAAUGUACAUGCUGGAGGGGCUAUCAAGGUGGAACAUGGGCGGGGCCAAGGAGGCAGUAGCUGUGGAGGGGGCCUCGACCCUUAGAAGCUUCGAUGUCCGCCCGAUGUCCCACCUCAACAGCUUAAGCUAGCGUGUCCGUGGUUGUAAUCUAGUGGCAGAAUUCCCCCCACCUGGGAAACCUACUGAUGAGCGCAUAGUGGUGGACUAUUUAUUGGGCCAGACCAACAGAGGGGACCUGCUUGCGCCAUGGCAUGUCCCUGAAAUCCCAUCACAGGUGCUUGAGGAGGAGUGGGACGCAGAUGAUGCAGAUGUCACUGUAGACAUGUCUGAGGAGGGGGCUACUGGUCCUUAUGACCAGUCUGUGGAGGGUGACACUGAUCCCGAAGUCAUCGUCACAGAGACUAGCCCAAGUGACACGAGAGGGGUUGU